This 1386-nucleotide ribosomal RNA is filed under the name metagenome. Its description in RNAcentral is "bacterial LSU rRNA". It matches the Rfam family "Bacterial large subunit ribosomal RNA", at positions 1537 to 2925 of the family's 2925-position model. The record is from RNAcentral.
AAAAUCCGGGCUGCACAAGGCUAAAUACGCGGACGAAAGUACGGAUCUUCGGAUCCGGAACAAGUUGAUGACCCCAGAUGCCGAGAAAAUUCCCGUUCAUCUAUACAUACUCCACUGGCAGUACCGCAAACCGACACAGGUAGGUGGGAUGAGAAUUCUAAGGUGCUUGUGAGAACCCUCGUUCAGGAACUCUGCAAAAUGUAACCGUAACUUCGGGAGAAGGUUAGCCGUGUUCACCGAGAACACGGUCGCAGAGAAAUGUUUCAGGCGACUGUUUAACAAAAACACAGGUCUCCGCAAAGUUGUAAAGACAACGUAUGGGGGCUGACGCCUGCCCAAUGCUGGAAGGUUAAAAGGAGUGGUUAGGAGUAAUCCGAAGCUGCGAAUUGAAGCCCCAGUGAAUGGCGGCCGUAACAAUAACGGUCCUAAGGUAGCGAAAUUCCUUGUCGGGUAAGUUCCGACCUGCACGAAUGGCGUAACGAUCUGAAAGCUGUCUUAACGAGGGACACAGCGAACUUGUAGUACCGGUGAAGAUGCCGGUUUCCCGCAUCUAGACGGAAAGACCCCGUGCACCUUGACUACAACUUGAUAGUGAUUUCGGGUAAAUAAUGCGCAGCAUAGGUGGGAGGCUUUGAUGUCAGGCUUUUGGGCUUGGCGGAGCCACAGGUGAGAUACCACCCUUUAUUUAUUUGGACUCUAACCUCGAUCCGUAAUCCGGAUCAGGGACAUUAUCAGGCGGGUAGUUUGACUGGGGCGGUCGCCUCCUAAAGAGUAACGGAGGCGCUCGAAGGUUGGCUCAGGCUGUUUGGAAAUCAGCCGCAGAGUGUAAACGCAUAAGCCAGCUUAACUGCGAGACAUACACGUCGAGCAGGUACGAAAGUAGGAGUUAGUGAUUCGGCGGUCGCUUACGGAAGUGCCGUCGCUCAACGGAUAAAAGGUACGCCGGGGAUAACAGGCUGAUCCUGCCCAAGAGUUCACAUCGACGGCAGGGUUUGGCACCUCGAUGUCGGCUCAUCAUAUCCUGGGGCUGAAGAAGGUCCCAAGGGUUCGGCUGUUCGCCGAUUAAAAUGGUACGUGAGCUGGGUUCAGAACGUCGCGAGACAGUUCGGUCCCUAUCUGGUGUGGGCGUAGCAAUAUUGAAGGAAUCUGUCCUUAGUACGAGAGGACCGGGAUGGAUUGACCUCUAGUGUACGUGUUAUGGCGCCAGCCGUAUCGCACGGUAGCUAUGUCGAGCAUGGAUAAACGCUGAAUGCAUCUAAGCGUGAAGCCAGACCUAAGAUAAGUAUUGCCAGUGAGACUCGUGGAAGACCACCACGUUGAUAGGUCGGAGAUGUAAGUGCAGUAAAGUAUUUAGUUUACCGAUACUAAUUGUCCCAAGGCUUGACC